RNAcentral lists this transfer RNA (73 nucleotides) under Monodelphis domestica (gray short-tailed opossum). It matches the Rfam family "tRNA". From Rfam's summary of the family: Transfer RNA (tRNA) molecules are approximately 80 nucleotides in length. Lineage: Eukaryota; Metazoa; Chordata; Mammalia; Didelphimorphia; Didelphidae. The record is from Rfam by way of RNAcentral.
AGCUAGGUGGCCCAGUAGAUAGAGCACUGGACUUAGAAUCAGGAUGACCUAAGUUCCAAUCUAAGCCUAGUCA